CAUUUAUAUCAACAAUAUCCGAUUUUUAUUCUAAGAAGCAUUAAAAGAUAUUUGUCAAUUGUGCAAGAAAUUAUUGGAAUAAUUGUAAGUGAACUUUCACAUAUUUUUCUGUAACCUUGAAUAACUUUUCGUAAAGAAAUUUUUAAUAAUUCCGGCGAAAACUCGGCCAAAUUUAUAGAAAUAUGGAAAUUAAUUAUAUCAACUACAUUAACAGAAUGUGCAAGCAGCGAUACCCUGGUACAGCAUAAUGCCGCGUCAAGGACAGAAAUACUUUUUUGUUUAACUUUAUGUAUUUUCAUUAAUUAUCCUUUCCCUGCAAUAAAUUAAUACAGUUUUGGAAUUGUAAAAUAAAUAUCAGGUUGCAAGUAAUAUUCUCAAACAAUUUUAGAACUGAAUAUUUAUUUAAUCAGUCACUAAUUAUUAUUGCAGUUGCAGAUUACUGUAUAUCUGCAUGUUAUUUUGCAGAAUCUCUAUAAAAAAAGGUAGAACUUUUAUAUAUAUAUUCAUUGAUCUAUAACAAACAAAUGAAACUAAAAUAAAUAAUUAAUUAGCUAUUAACAAUUAUCGUAACAAGUGGCAUGCCUACUGCGAUACAUAUCCCCGAUUUCUUAGUAAUAUUAAUAUUAAACUUUUAUGCGAAGAUUAAUUUACAUUCCGUGGAGGCUUCUUUAGAACUUGUACUUCAUUCUUCAUACAUAAGAGUUCAUGCAUAAAUUAAUUACGUAUAACGUGAAUUCUGUGAAAAUGCAUGGUCUCACUCUUAUGCAACGACUCCAUGCGAUAAUUGUUAAUGACUAUUUGAACAAAAAUUCCGCUACAAAAUUCUGUGUAAGAAUUCGUUGCGUUGGGAUCUUUAUUACACGACUUUAUUAUACAAUUCCAAAAGUGGACGAAUUCUUUCCUGAAAGAAAAGCAAUUAACGAAUAUUCAAUAAAUUAGAUGGGGAAUUUCCUUGUAUCUGCCCCUGUUGCACAGUAAUGCGCUUCUUGUUUUACACAUGGCAUAAGUCUGUCCUUGUCGAAUAGUAGCGUGCUCCUUAGCUAACACCUCCUUGGAUACCACCUUGCACAUUCCAUUUACUUACAUAUAUAUAUUCUUGUUGCUUUUACGCAAUUCAAGCCAACUCCAAUAGAGGGCAACACCGAAGUGACCAUAGAGAAAGAGGACAGUAUUGUGCGACAAGGACAGACAUACAGUGGCGGUCACAAGAAAGUUUUGAAUUGUGUACACUGUGUAACUUUUAUGCUAACAAUUUUUUACCAUAUUGAUAACAGUCACCUAUUCCAUCGUAUAAUAAUAAUCAGAAACUCUGAUAAUACGUAAAAGUCUAUCAAUGUUCGUAAAUCACAUAAUAAAAUCAGAAAAAACAUCUUGAUAAUGCAAUGUUGCAGAUGUGUAUAGAUUUAAUUAAUUAUUUAAUCGGUUAAAAGUUUGAUAAGACGCUUAAACAAUACCAAACUAUUUACUCUUUCGUACGCUUCGUGUUAAAAUUUCGAAAAGAAAAAUGUUAUGGUAAAAUUCAAAGCACCUCGGAUAAUACGGAACUUCGGUUAAAUGUGCCUCGAAUAACCGAGACCCCACUGUAUAUUUAUUCAUUGCUCUUAUUAAAUAUAAUACCAUUCUGUAAAAUUAUGGUGUAUUUUUAUAUUUCUUAUGGUAUAAAUUUCUUUUCCGCCACUGUAUGUACUCGCGUCAGACAAAGAGAGCGAUAAUGUGUAAUAAGGAUAGCAAUAAUGUUUAGUUCGGUUUUUCACCAUUAUGUGGCGAUAGUGUUUCAAUAUCCUACCCAUAAAUCGAACAAAUUUUCGUUAGUGAAAAAGAUUAAUUAAGAGCAUUAACAUGCGAACUUCUGCAGUUGUAUCUGGCUAAUUGGACCCUCGACUUUCCUUUUUAUGUAAUUUGAACUUCGAUAUACAUUUGUAAGAAAGUAUAUAUUUUUUACGCAAAUAUUCUGCGACGAUACAAUGAACUUACGCAUUAUUUACGUUAUAUCAAAUUGAUUUAUACACUUUUUCGGAUGCAGUACAACGCACGAUUUAAGUUUCUAUAAUCACGUAGAGUUAAACUACACAAAUUUUAUGCGUAUAAUACGUGGACGGAACAAAUGUUUAUAUUAUCCGGUACCAUGGCCCAGGUUUUCGCGCAUGAUUUGCUGGUAAAUUGACCGAGGAUUCCUUCCAAAAAGUAAAAAGGUUUGCCGACAAAGAGUAACACGAUUAUAUAAGACCAACGGAAGCAGCGAUGCAAGCCAUUAGAAAUUCUAGACCACCUCCCCAUUCUGCUCUCUGAGGAAAAGAAGUGAUGUGCAAAUUGGUUUUAUCAUCAUCCAGUGGCGUAAUAUUGGGAUAAGUAGUUAGCAAGUAUAUGUUAAUCAGAAUAAUGAUAGAAGGAGACCUCGAAUGAAAAUCUCAAUAAUUAUAGAUAAAUACUAUUAAAAAUAUUCUGCUUCGCCAAAGGUUCAAUGUUUUAUAUUAGACUGUAAAUGUUUAUUUAUUUGUGAGAAUUGAAAUUAAUACAAGAUUUAAUUUCAGAGAAAA
Long non-coding RNA from Bombus huntii, 2537 nucleotides. RefSeq lists it as uncharacterized. The transcript is spliced from 3 exons. The record is from RefSeq and is a predicted model, not a curated record. Lineage: Eukaryota; Metazoa; Arthropoda; Insecta; Hymenoptera; Apidae.